RNAcentral lists this ribosomal RNA (480 nucleotides) under Olleya marilimosa. RNAcentral's name for it is "bacterial SSU rRNA". It matches the Rfam family "Bacterial small subunit ribosomal RNA", at positions 41 to 521 of the family's 1533-position model. The record is from RNAcentral. Lineage: Bacteria; Pseudomonadati; Bacteroidota; Flavobacteriia; Flavobacteriales; Flavobacteriaceae.
CGCAGGCUUACACAUGCAAGUCGAGGGGUAGCAGGGAGCUUGCUCCGCUGACGACCGGCGAACGGGUGCGUAACGCGUAUAGAAUCUACCUCUUACUAAGGGAUAGCCCAGAGAAAUUUGGAUUAAUAUCUUAUAGUAUACAGACCUGGCAUCAGGAUUGUAUUAAAGGUUACGGUAAGAGAUGACUAUGCGUCCUAUUAGCUAGAUGGUGUGGUAACGGCACACCAUGGCUACGAUAGGUAGGGGCCCUGAGAGGGGGAUCCCCCACACUGGUACUGAGACACGGACCAGACUCCUACGGGAGGCAGCAGUGAGGAAUAUUGGACAAUGGAGGCAACUCUGAUCCAGCCAUGCCGCGUGCAGGAAGACUGCCCUAUGGGUUGUAAACUGCUUUUAUUCAGGAAGAAACACUCUCACGUGUGAGAGCUUGACGGUACUGUAAGAAUAAAGAUCGGCUAACUCCCUGCCACCAGCCGCGGU